RNAcentral lists this unclassified non-coding RNA (329 nucleotides) under soil metagenome. RNAcentral's name for it is "partial contains 5.8S ribosomal RNA, internal transcribed spacer 2, and large subunit ribosomal RNA". The stretch from base 1 to 120 matches the Rfam family "5.8S ribosomal RNA", at positions 35 to 154 of the family's 154-position model. The record is from RNAcentral.
GAUGAAGAACGUAGCGAAAUGCGAUAAGUAAUGUGAAUUGCAGAAUUCAGUGAAUCAUCGAAUCUUUGAACACACAUUGCGCCCCCUGGUAUUCCGGGGGGCAUGCCUGUCCGAGCGUCAUUACAACCCUCAAGCUCAGCUUGGUAUUGGGCCCCGCCGACCCGGCGGGCCCUAAAGUCAGUGGCGGUGCCGUCCGGCUCCGAGCGUAGUAAUUCUUCUCGCUCUGGAGGUCCGGUCGUGUGCUCGCCAGCAACCCCCAAUUUUUUUCAGGUUGACCUCGGAUCAGGUAGGGAUACCCGCUGAACUUAAGCAUAUCAAUAAGCGGAGGA